This is a small nuclear RNA of Apodemus sylvaticus (European woodmouse), 107 nucleotides long. The record is from RefSeq and is a predicted model, not a curated record. Lineage: Eukaryota; Metazoa; Chordata; Mammalia; Rodentia; Muridae.
GUGCUCACUUUGGCAGCUCACGCACUAAAACUGGAGCGACGCAGAAAUGAGCAGCACAGCCCCCUUGCAAGAAUGACAUGCGUAUGUGUGAAGUAUUCCAUAUUUUA